AUUGAACGCUGGCGGCAUGCUUUACACAUGCAAGUCGAACGGCAGCGCGGGCUUCGGCCUGGCGGCGAGUGGCGAACGGGUGAGUAAUACAUCGGAACGUGCCCAGUAGUGGGGGAUAGCUCGGCGAAAGCCGGAUUAAUACCGCAUACUACCUGCGGGUGAAAGCGGGGGAUCUUCGGACCUCGCGCUAUUGGAGGGGCCGAUGGCAGAUUAGCUAGUUGGUGGGGUAAGGGCCUACCAAGGCGACGAUCGGUAGCUGGUCUGAGAGGACGACCAGCCACACUGGGACUGAGACACGGCCCAGACUCCUACGGGAGGCAGCAGUGGGGAAUUUUGGACAAUGGGCGAAAGCCUGAUCCAGCAAUGCCGCGUGUGUGAUGAAGGCCUUCGGGUUGUAAAGCACUUUUGGCGGGAACGAAAAGGACUGUGCCAAUACCACGGUUCGAUGACGGUACCCGCAGAAUAAGCACCGGCUAACUACGUG
This 484-nucleotide ribosomal RNA is filed under the name uncultured bacterium. RNAcentral describes it as "partial 16S ribosomal RNA". It matches the Rfam family "Bacterial small subunit ribosomal RNA", at positions 29 to 507 of the family's 1533-position model. The record is from RNAcentral.